GGAGGCAAAAGGACAUUAAUAAUGUUAGAUUGUGCCUGCAAGAGCUCAAUAAGUGUGCAGAAGAUGUAUCAAGAUCUGUUUCGUAUUUCCUGGAUGACUUAACUCUCGUGUCAUUUAAUCAUGUGGACAAGGUUUCAAGCUUGGGUACAUUUACCGCUGAUACACCGAAUUCUCACAAUAUUACGCCCCCCUACAUUUCCAUUAGAGUUAAUGGGCAGGUAACAGCAACGCCUGGCGUGAUUGUUGGUAAUCUCAGAGCCGAGCUGGUGGACACAGGAUUGGGAGGCACACAGCCCCAAGCAUGGUGAAGGAAUGACGCAGAAGGAAGCAAAUCUCCGAGAGCGCUGCCCAAGGUCACCCUACAUCGUGCAUACUUUAAACUCCAGCAAGGCAAGGGAGCGAGACGUCCGAAAUACUUGAGACGGGAACUAGAAGCAGUCUACUGGCUACCAAAACAAAGAUGUUGAGUGUAUUUGCAACCAAGUUUGAUCUCACUGUGGAUGCCAACACUCUGUCAUUAAAUGAAAAGCAGAGUCGGAAGGUGAAACGCAAAGCAGUCAAGAUAUUACAGGAAAGAUGUGUGAAGUGGUGUAAAUGUGCAACACGCAGUCAUGGAUGCACUGCUUGCUGAGUAUUAUGAGAAAUUAUUUAAUUUUAGAUGCCACUUCUUUCCGUGUAACUUCAUCUGCCGUAGUCAUCAUUGUUCCAGUUUCUGAUUACUUCAGGAUUUAGUCCCAUUGCACCUGUCAUUGCACAUGAUGUAAACAAUGAGCUUUUAUGAGUUUCAUAUUUGGUGAAUUUGUCUUAGUACGCAUUGCUCACGAGUGUGCGGCUGCCGCUUGGCCAAGUUGUUGAUGCAACUUGAGACUGACACAGGAAUACUGAUUUGAUUAAUGGGUAUUAUUUAAAGUAAUUUUUGGCAGACAGAAGCUUGGGAACGAUACAAGUUGUGUGUUUAAGGUGCGAGCAUGGGUUUGUUUGUCACCCUCCUUUUGCUUGUUCAUGUCAAUUUAUAGUUUUGAGAUAUUGAUGUGAUAUACCGUAUGAUGUCAGGGGACAUGACAAUAGAGAGUACAAAAAGCAUAUACUUACUGCAAAAUAAACUGGUUGAUAAACUCA
Molecule: long non-coding RNA, 1119 nt
Organism: Hippocampus zosterae (dwarf seahorse)
Lineage: Eukaryota; Metazoa; Chordata; Actinopteri; Syngnathiformes; Syngnathidae
Exons: 2
Source: RefSeq, a predicted model, not a curated record